This 442-nucleotide unclassified non-coding RNA is filed under the name Starmerella bombi. Its description in RNAcentral is "partial contains ITS1, 5.8S rRNA and ITS2". The stretch from base 126 to 275 matches the Rfam family "5.8S ribosomal RNA". The record is from RNAcentral. Lineage: Eukaryota; Fungi; Ascomycota; Dipodascomycetes; Dipodascales; Trichomonascaceae.
AAGGAUCAUUACUGAAGGCUAACCGCCGACAUUGUGAAACGCUUCUCCGGAAGCAUUGCUUGGGUGUCGCAAGGCGCCCAACAUUCAAACUCUUAUAUUUUAUCUCUGACAACCAAGAAAUUUAAAACUUUCAACAACGGAUCUCUUGGUUCUCGCAUCGAUGAAGAACGCAGCAAAGCGCGAUAGGUAAUGCGAAUUGCACACGUGAGUCAUUGAAUCUUUGAACGCACAUUGCGCCAUCAGGUUCUCCUGAUGGCAUGCUUGUUGGAGCGCCGAUCUUUCUCUCAUACUACUUUAUGUAGAAGAGGUUCUGCUCCUAUCAGGAGUCAAAAGAAUGGAAGUGCACACGUUAGAUAACUCUGUGCAGUUACACUUACAAUCUUUUGGCCUCCAAUCAAGCAAGGCUACCCGCUGAACUUAAGCAUAUCAAUAAGCGGAGGAA